GAUGAACGCUAGCGGCAGGCUUAAUACAUGCAAGUCGAGGGGUGAAAAUGAGGCUUCGGCCAAAACACGACCGGCGCACGGGUGAGUAACACGUACGCAAUCUACCUUAUACUGGAGAAUAGCCCUGGGAAACUGGGAUUAAUACUCCAUAGUUUCAAGAAACGGCAUCGUUUUUUGAAUAAAGCUCCGGCGGUAUAAGAUGAGCGUGCGGUCCAUUAGCUUGUUGGUAAGGUAACGGCUUACCAAGGCGACGAUGGAUAGCGGGCGUGAGAGCGCGAUCCGCCACACUGGUACUGAGACACGGACCAGACUCCUACGGGAGGCAGCAGUAGGGAAUAUUGGUCAAUGGACGAAAGUCUGAACCAGCCAUGCCGCGUGAAGGAUGAAGGCCCUCUGGGUUGUAAACUUCUUUAUUAGGGAAGAAACCUUUCGAUUCAUCGAAAGCUGACGGUACCUAACGAAUAAGCACCGGCUAACUCCGUGCCAGCAACCGCGGUAAUGU
Molecule: ribosomal RNA, 502 nt
Filed under: uncultured bacterium
Lineage: Bacteria
Description: bacterial SSU rRNA
Rfam family: Bacterial small subunit ribosomal RNA
Source: RNAcentral